AGGCCUUACCUCCUCCUUACUGCUUCUUCCUCCGUGAACCGUCGAUCUACACUUGAACGGUCCUUACUUCCAUGGUCUUUGUCUGCUAUUAUAGUCCUAAAAGGGUUCUUUAGCUACGAGGCUUUUCCUAGCUGUGUUUGGCUUGGUGUUCUCACCUUGGCCACCAGUUUCUGCAAGAUGUAGGAGAAUUCCCAUAGUCGGUCGUCCUGGUGAUUAGCAGCAUUGAAUGAUAGCAGAAGUGGGUCUUCUUGUUGGGUGCCCUACCCGUUUUACGAUCAGGGUUGCUAUUUUUUUGGUUCUAUUUGAUGGGCAUAGUUGCAGGCUUAACUUCCA
Molecule: unclassified non-coding RNA, 333 nt
Filed under: Hevea brasiliensis (rubber tree)
Lineage: Eukaryota; Viridiplantae; Streptophyta; Magnoliopsida; Malpighiales; Euphorbiaceae
Source: RNAcentral